This 721-nucleotide unclassified non-coding RNA is filed under the name Hevea brasiliensis (rubber tree). Lineage: Eukaryota; Viridiplantae; Streptophyta; Magnoliopsida; Malpighiales; Euphorbiaceae. The record is from RNAcentral.
GGCUAUCGCCCCAACGUUGGCGUUUGUCUUAUCAACUCUGAUAAUCAGAUUUUUGUGGCUUCUAGAUUGAACGUUCCCGGAGCGUGGCAGAUGCCACAGGGGGGUAUCGAGGAUAAUGAGGAGCCUAGAUCUGCAGCCAUCAGGGAAUUGCGAGAAGAAACUGGGAUAGUGUCUGCUGAAAUUAUUGCUGAGGUACCAAAUUGGUUGACUUAUGACUUUCCACCUGCUGUGAAGGCCAAAGUGAAUCGUCUGUGGGGAGGUGAAUGGCAUGGGCAGGCACAGAAGUGGUUUCUUAUGAAAUUGACAAAAGAUGAGAGUGAGAUUAACCUGGCAAAUGGAGAAGCAGACCCAGAAUUUGCAGAAUGGAAAUGGGCAAGCCCUGAAGAAGUUGUUGAGCAGGCAGUGGACUACAAGAGGCCAACCUAUGAGGAAGUUGUGAGAACCUUCAGGCCUUACUUCAAUGAGAAGGGAAUUACGAGUAAAUGUAAAUCAUCAAAGUGGUGAAUGGGUGUGGGUGUGCUUUUGUAGGUUUCUCCUUGUUUCUUAUAGUAGUGAAUCUGGGCUUAUUACAACUUUUUCUGUAAAUGGAUGUGGCAGUUGGAAUUUCAAUUUAGAUGGUAGUUGCUUAAUUGUAAUAAAAAUACGUGCAAUCAUAUAUAUUUCAUGGUUUUGUGCAAGUCCCUACAUACUUGGACGUUGGAGAGUUUAUCUUUAGAAGGGG